GAUGAAGAACGUAGCGAAAUGCGAUACGUAGUGUGAAUUGCAGAAUUCAGUGAAUCAUCGAAUCUUUGAACGCACAUUGCACCUCUCGGUAUUCCGGGAGGUAUGCCUGUUCGAGCGUCAUUUGUACCCUCAAGCUCUGCUUGGUGUUGGGGCCUGCUGCACUGGCAGCCCUUAAAAUCAGUGGCGGCGCCAUCUGGCUCUAAGCGUAGUAAUUCUUCUCGCUAUGGAGUCCUGGUGGAUGCUUGCCAUCAACCCCCAAUUUUUCUAUGGUUGACCUCGGAUCAGGUAGGGAUACCCGCUGAACUUAAGCAUAUCAAUAAGCGGAGGA
RNAcentral lists this unclassified non-coding RNA (328 nucleotides) under soil metagenome. Its description in RNAcentral is "partial contains 5.8S ribosomal RNA, internal transcribed spacer 2, and large subunit ribosomal RNA". The stretch from base 1 to 120 matches the Rfam family "5.8S ribosomal RNA", at positions 35 to 154 of the family's 154-position model. The record is from RNAcentral.